GCGUACCUUUUGUAUAAUGGGUCAGCGACUUAUAUUCUGUAGCAAGGUUAACCGAAUAGGGGAGCCGGAGGGAAACCGAGUCUUAACCGGGCGUUAAGUUGCAGGGUAUAGACCCGAAACCCGGUGAUCUAGCCAUGGGCAGGUUGAAGGUUGGGUAACACUAACUGGAGGACCGAACCGACUAAUGUUGAAAAAUUAGCGGAUGACCUGUGGCUGGGGGUGAAAGGCCAAUCAAACCGGGAGAUAGCUGGUUCUCCCCGAAAGCUAUUUAGGUAGCGCCUCGUGAAUUCAUCUCCGGGGGUAGAGCACUGUUUCGGCUAGGGGGCCAUCCCGGCUUACCAACCCGAUGCAAACUGCGAAUACCGGAGAAUGUUAUCACGGGAGACACACGGCGGGUGCUAACGUCCGUCGUGAAGAGGGAAACAACCCAGACCGCCAGCUAAGGUCCCAAAGUCAUGGUUAAGUGGGAAACGAUGUGGGAAGGCCCAGACAGCCAGGAUGUUGGCUUAGAAGCAGCCAUCAUUUAAAGAAAGCGUAAUAGCUCACUGGUCGAGUCGGCCUGCGCGGAAGAUGUAACGGGGCUAAACCAUGCACCGAAGCUGCGGCAGCGACACUGUGUGUUGUUGGGUAGGGGAGCGUUCUGUAAGCCUGUGAAGGUGUGUCGUGAGGC
Molecule: ribosomal RNA, 670 nt
Filed under: Salmonella enterica
Lineage: Bacteria; Pseudomonadati; Pseudomonadota; Gammaproteobacteria; Enterobacterales; Enterobacteriaceae
Also listed under: 1 other name
Description: bacterial LSU rRNA
Rfam family: Bacterial large subunit ribosomal RNA
Source: RNAcentral